GCUUUUUUGCCAACACAUACACUAAAAUUGGAACAAUAUAGGGAAGAUUAGCAUGGCCCCUAAGUAAGGAUGACAUGGAAAUUCAUGAAGAUAUUGGUUAUCAAAUAUAU
Hyaena hyaena (striped hyena) is the source of this 110-nucleotide small nuclear RNA. Lineage: Eukaryota; Metazoa; Chordata; Mammalia; Carnivora; Hyaenidae. The record is from RefSeq and is a predicted model, not a curated record.